This 703-nucleotide ribosomal RNA is filed under the name Pseudomonas taiwanensis. RNAcentral's name for it is "bacterial SSU rRNA". It matches the Rfam family "Bacterial small subunit ribosomal RNA", at positions 45 to 746 of the family's 1533-position model. The record is from RNAcentral. Lineage: Bacteria; Pseudomonadati; Pseudomonadota; Gammaproteobacteria; Pseudomonadales; Pseudomonadaceae.
GGCUUAUACAUGCAGUCGAGCGGAUGACGGGAGCUUGCUCCUUGAUUCAGCGGCGGACGGGUGAGUAAUGCCUAGGAAUCUGCCUGGUAGUGGGGGACAACGUUUCGAAAGGAACGCUAAUACCGCAUACGUCCUACGGGAGAAAGCAGGGGACCUUCGGGCCUUGCGCUAUCAGAUGAGCCUAGGUCGGAUUAGCUAGUUGGUGAGGUAAUGGCUCACCAAGGCGACGAUCCGUAACUGGUCUGAGAGGAUGAUCAGUCACACUGGAACUGAGACACGAUCAAAACAUAUACGGGAGGCAGCAGUGGGGAAUAUUGGACAAUGGGCGAAAGCCUGAUCCAGCCAUGCCGCGUGUGUGAAGAAGGUCUUCGGAUUGUAAAGCACUUUAAGUUGGGAGGAAGGGCAGUAAGUUAAUACCUUGCUGUUUUGACGUUACCGACAGAAUAAGCACCGGCUAACUCUGUGCCAGCAGCCGCGAUAAUACAGAGGGUGCAAGCGUUAAUCGAAAUUACUGGGCGUAAAGCGCGUGUAGGUGGUUCGUUAAGUUGGAUGUGAAAGCCCCGGGCUCAACCUGGAAACUGCAUCCAAAACUGGCGAGCUAGAGUACGGUAGAGGGUGGUGUAAAUUUCCUGUGUAGCGUGAAAUGCGUAGAUAUAAGAAGGAACACCAGUGCGAGCGCGACCACCUGCACUGAUACUGACAC